Molecule: RNase P RNA, 332 nt
Filed under: Arenibacter sp. A80
Lineage: Bacteria; Pseudomonadati; Bacteroidota; Flavobacteriia; Flavobacteriales; Flavobacteriaceae
Also listed under: 1 other name
Description: RNase P RNA component class A
Rfam family: Bacterial RNase P class A
About the family: Ribonuclease P (RNase P) is a ubiquitous endoribonuclease, found in archaea, bacteria and eukarya as well as chloroplasts and mitochondria. Its best characterised activity is the generation of mature 5'-ends of tRNAs by cleaving the 5'-leader elements of precursor-tRNAs. Cellular RNase Ps are ribonucleoproteins.
Source: RNAcentral
UCAGCAGGUCGCCUUAUCGCUGCCCGCAUAACGCGGGGAGAGGAAAGUCCGGACACCAUAGUGCAGUAUAGCGGGUAAUGCCCGUCCAUCGAGAGAUGAGGACAAGUGCAACAGAAAGUAUGUACAGGUAAGGCUGUAGUGAAACCAGGUAAACUCUAUACGGUGCAACGCCAUGUAAAUCAGUGUCCCGAUAUUUAUCGGGAGAGGGCUGCACGCCCGAGCUGAAGGGUAGGCGGUUAGAGCUUUUGGGCAACCUUUGGCCUAGAUAAAUGAUAGGGAAGCCUCGAAGUAAUUCAAGGUUAACAGAAUCCGGCUUAUGACCUGCUUUUUUU